Helianthus annuus (common sunflower) is the source of this 754-nucleotide long non-coding RNA. RefSeq lists it as uncharacterized. The transcript has 3 exons. The record is from RefSeq and is a predicted model, not a curated record. Lineage: Eukaryota; Viridiplantae; Streptophyta; Magnoliopsida; Asterales; Asteraceae.
UAACCACCCCAUCUUUUAAAACACAAAAAAAAAAAAAGAACCCUGAUACAAUACGUAUACAAUACGUCGUCUUCUUCGUUUUCAAACACACCAAACCCUAAUAGUAAUCUCAGCCGCCAAAUCUCUUUUCCGACAACACCGUCGCCGAGGAUGAUGAUGAUCGAUGACGAUGAGAUGAUGAACGAUGGUUAUAACCGGCGAUGAUCGGAAGUUGAAGGUGGUCGAAACAAUAGAGAUUAUCGUCCAGUGAUUAUCGUUCAGAGGUGGUGGUCAGUGGUGUCGUGAUGACAGUUGCAGUUUAACGGCGACGAUGGUUUUGUUUUACUCGAUGAGUUUCUUCAGUGGAACCUGACGACAGUAGUGGUGGCGGUCUGUAUUGACUCGGGCCAACAGUGGACGAAUCUCGAGUCCACUCAGUCAGAUUCUUGAUUCGGGAUUGUUUUAUGCGCGGUUCAGGCUCGGUGGAAUCUCGGUUCAGCUGGUUCAGUUGCGGGUCAAAUCCAGGUAUGGUUGAUCAACUUAGGACAAACGCUUUAUCUGCCGAGCAAACCAAGACGUUUAGGUGCAAAGCAGAGGAACUUGAUGUCUGGGAAGCUGGAGUGGUCAUGGGUCAAGUUACAUGGAAACGCAAUGCAAGACUAAGAGCUUUUAUAUGUGGUUUGUAAACACUUAACGAAUAAAAUAUGCUUCCGCUGUAAACUGUAAAUUAUUGUAUCGUUGUAACACUUAUUGUUGAUAAAUGAAAGUUUUAUUU